CCAGACUCCUACGGGAGGCAGCAGUGGGGAAUAUUGGACAAUGGGGGGAACCCUGAUCCAGCGACGCCGCGUGAGUGAAGAAGUAUUUCGGUAUGUAAAGCUCUAUCAGCAGGGAAGAAAGAAAUGACGGUACCUGACUAAGAAGCCCCGGCUAACUACGUGCCAGCAGCCGCGGUAAUACGUAGGGGGCAAGCGUUAUCCGGAUUUACUGGGUGUAAAGGGAGCGCAGGCGGCACGGCAAGCCUGAUGUGAAAGCCCGCGGCCCAACCGCGGGACUGCAUUGGGAACUACCGGGCUGGAGUGCCGGAGAGGUAGGCGGAAUUCCUAGUGUAGCGGUGAAAUGCGUAGAUAUCAGGAGGAACACCGGUGGCGAAGGCGGCCUGCUGGACUGCAACUGACGUUGAGGCCCGAAAGCGUGGGGAGCAAACAGGAUUAGAUACCCGAGUAUC
RNAcentral lists this ribosomal RNA (449 nucleotides) under uncultured bacterium. RNAcentral's name for it is "partial 16S ribosomal RNA". It matches the Rfam family "Bacterial small subunit ribosomal RNA", at positions 331 to 794 of the family's 1533-position model. The record is from RNAcentral.